RNAcentral lists this ribosomal RNA (397 nucleotides) under uncultured bacterium. RNAcentral describes it as "partial 16S ribosomal RNA". It matches the Rfam family "Bacterial small subunit ribosomal RNA", at positions 523 to 918 of the family's 1533-position model. The record is from RNAcentral.
AUACGAAGGCCCCAAGCGUUAUCCGGAUUUAUUGGGCGUAAAGCGUGUGUAGGAGGAUCGGUGCGUCUUUUGUUAAAUUUCACUGCUUAACGGUGGAGCCGCAGAAGAUACGAUCGGUCUAGAGUGUGCGAGAGGCUAAUAGAACUCACGGUGUAGGGGUGAAAUCCGGUGAUAUCGUGGGGAAUACCAAAGGCGAAGGCAUUUAGCUGGCGCAUUACUGACUCUAAGGCACGAAAGCGUGGGGAGCAAAAAGGAUUAGAUACCCUUGUAGUCCACGCCCUAAACUAUGCAAACUAGCUAUUUCGAGUAUCGACCCUCGGAGUGGCGAAGCUAACGCGUUAAGUUUGCCGCCUGGGAAGUACGGCCGCAAGGCUAAAACUCAAAUGAAUUGACGGGG